AUGGUGGAGUCCACCCAAUCCCGCGGCGACUCGGGUUCUUCGGCAGUUAAACGGAAGUGCCCACCCUGCCAACAAGACGACGGCGACGGCACCGGUUCAAACGCUCACAAUGGAAUCAACUCAUCAUGGAACAGCCUUUCCGAGGAUGUCGUGCAUCAUAUACAUGCCCUAAUGCCGCUGCGAGACGCCGCACGUGCUGCGUGCGUGUCUCGGUCAUUUCGACGUUCCUGGAGACACUAUCCUAAUCUCACCUUCGGUAUGCAACAACUGGGCUUGAUUAGAAAAGCAGGAACAGUGGACGAAGUAGCAAUGGAUCUUGUAAGCAGAAUUGACCAUAUCGUUGGAAAUCAUUCAGGCACCGGAGUGAAAACGCUUGAGCUCCAACUCCCCUGGAACUGGAACAGACUCGACACCUCUUACGUCGACAGGUUCCUCAAGGCUGCCAUUGCGCCCGGUAUCCAAGAACUCACUGUGAUGCCGCCCUUAUUACAGCGUUACAACUUCCCGUGCUCGCUUUUAUCAGGCGAGAGCGGGCGGUCGAUUCGGUAUCUUAACUCACCAAUUCUAGUUUCCAUCCCACCGCCGGACUUGGUUGCCUGA
This 600-nucleotide ribosomal RNA is filed under the name Triticum aestivum (bread wheat). RNAcentral's name for it is "partial small subunit ribosomal RNA". Lineage: Eukaryota; Viridiplantae; Streptophyta; Magnoliopsida; Poales; Poaceae. The record is from RNAcentral.